RNAcentral lists this ribosomal RNA (500 nucleotides) under uncultured bacterium. RNAcentral describes it as "bacterial SSU rRNA". It matches the Rfam family "Bacterial small subunit ribosomal RNA", at positions 28 to 507 of the family's 1533-position model. The record is from RNAcentral.
AGCGAACGUUAGCGGCGCGCCUAACACAUGCAAGUUCGCACGAGAAACGGAGCAAUCCGCGGUACAGUGGCGCACGGGUGAGUAACACGUGGAUGACCUUCCCUGGAGUGGUGGAUAACCUGCCGAAAGGCGGGCUAAUACAGCAUGGGACCACGACGCUUUGGCGAUGUGGUGAAAGCGGGCCUCUAUAUAUAAGCUCGCGCUCCGGGACGGGUCCGCGUCCCAUCAGCUAGUUGGUGAGGUAACGGCUCACCAAGGCAACGACGGGUAGCUGGUCUGAGAGGAUGGCCAGCCACACUGGAACUGAGACACGGUCCAGACUCCUACGGGAGGCAGCAGUGGGGAAUCUUGCGCAAUGGGCGAAAGCCUGACGCAGCGACGCCGCGUGGGCGAAGAAGGCCUUCGGGUUGUAAAGCCCUGUGGGGGAGAACGAACCGUACGGGGGCGAACACCCUCCGUGCCUGACGGUACUCCUUUAGCAAGCAUCGGCUAACUCUGUG